AACGAACGCUGGCGGUAUGCUUAACACAUGCAAGUCGAACGAGUACGACCUAGCUUGCUAGGUACGGCUAGUGGCAAACGGGUGAGUAACGCGUGGGAAUCUGCCUCUAAGUCAGGGAUAGCCGUUGGAAACGACGAUUAAUACCUGAUACUCCCUUCGGGGGAAAGAUUUAUUGCUUAGAGAUGAGCCCGCGUUAGAUUAGCUUGUUGGUGAGGUAAUGGCUCACCAAGGCAACGAUCUAUAGCUGGUCUGAGAGGAUGAUCAGCCACACUGGGACUGAGACACGGCCCAGACUCCUACGGGAGGCAGCAGUGGGGAAUAUUGGACAAUGGGGCAACCCUGAUCCAGCAAUGCCGCGUGAGUGAAGAAGGCCUUUGGGUUGUAAAGACUCUUUCGGUCGGGAAGGAAAUUGUCCUUGUGAAUAAAUGGG
This 430-nucleotide ribosomal RNA is filed under the name uncultured bacterium. Its description in RNAcentral is "bacterial SSU rRNA". It matches the Rfam family "Bacterial small subunit ribosomal RNA", at positions 29 to 471 of the family's 1533-position model. The record is from RNAcentral.